GCCCAGGUGGUGAAAUUGGUAGACACGCCAGCUUCAGGUGCUGGUGGCCUUCGGGCCGUGGAGGUUCAAGUCCUCUUCUGGGCACCA
Molecule: transfer RNA, 87 nt
Filed under: Sinobacterium norvegicum
Lineage: Bacteria; Pseudomonadati; Pseudomonadota; Gammaproteobacteria; Cellvibrionales; Spongiibacteraceae
Description: tRNA-Leu
Rfam family: tRNA
About the family: Transfer RNA (tRNA) molecules are approximately 80 nucleotides in length. Their secondary structure includes four short double-helical elements and three loops (D, anti-codon, and T loops).
Source: RNAcentral